CUGGGUCUCCAGCACACCCUGGAGAAAAGCAGGUCAGGGGGUGGUGCUUCUGUUUCCAGAUGAGCAAACUAGGGCUGAGGGAGAGGGCGUUCUCUGGUCAGGGUGGUAGAGCCAGUCUCGUGGAAGCCGGCCGAGCCACUGAAACAGAAUCAGUUUUCUCAUGGACCAAACGGGGAUAGUGUCUGGCCUGCGCCACCCCAAGUGUAUUGUGAAGAUGAAAUGAGAAGGGGUUUUUUGUUGUGGUUGCUGGAAGGAGAUCCUAGAAGGGAGGAAUCGGGGAGAAGAUGGCAAAGGGAUCCUAGGACAAGGCGUAUGGGCAAGGGAAGGUUGUCUUUCUGGGAGGAAAAUCUCCAACCAAGAAUUUCAGGAAGAAGGCACUGGGAAAAGAGGGAGGAGGUGCCCUCAGAUCCAUGGAGGUGAGUGUCAGCCCCCAGAUCUCUUGUGUGGCCACCACUUUCACGGCAACCACUCCUCACUGGGAAUCCUUGGAGUCUGGUGCUUUCGCCACCCUGCCCCGGCUGCUUCAUGCGUGCCACCUCGCCCUGUUUCCAGACUGAUGCAGAGAAAGUUCUCAGAGCCCAACACUUACAUCGAUGGCCUGCCUAGCCAGGACCGCCAGGAGGAGCUGUAUGAUGACGUGGAACUGUCAGAGCUCACAGCUGCGGUGGAGCCUACCGAGGAAGCCACCCCUGUUGCAGAUGACCCAAAUGAGAGAGAAUCUGACCGAGUGUACCUGGACCUCACACCUGUCAAGUCCUUUCUGCACGGCCCCAGCAGUGCACAGGCCCAGGCCUCCUCCCCGACAUUGUCCUGCCUGGACAAUGCAACUGAGGCCCUCCCUGCAGACCCAGGCCCAGGUCCCACCCCAGAUGAGCCCUGCAUAAAGUGUCCAGAGAACCUGGGAGAACAGCAGCUGGAGAGUUUGGAGCCAGAGGAUCCUUCCCUGAGAAUCACCACCGUCAAAAUCCAGACGGAACAGCAGAGAAUCUCCUUCCCACCGAGCUGCCCGGAUGCCGUGGUGGCCACCCCACCUGGUGCCAGCCCACCUGUGAAGGACAGGUUGCGCGUGACCAGUGCAGAGAUCAAGCUUGGCAAGAAUCGGACAGAAGCUGAGGUGAAGCGGUACACAGAGGAGAAGGAGAGGCUUGAAAAGAAGAAGGAAGAAAUCCGGGGGCACCUGGCUCAGCUCCGGAAAGAGAAACGGGAGCUAAAGGAAACCCUACUGAAAUGCACAGACAAGGAAGUCCUGGCAAGCCUGGAGCAGAAGCUGAAGGAAAUUGAUGAGGAGUGCCGGGGCGAGGAGAGCAGGCGCGUGGACCUGGAGCUCAGCAUCAUGGAGGUGAAGGACAACCUGAAGAAGGCUGAGGCAGGGCCUGUGACGUUAGGCACCACCGUGGACACCACCCACCUGGAGAACGUGAGCCCCCGCCCCAAAGCUGUCACACCUGCCUCUGCCCCAGACUGUACCCCAGUCAACUCUGCAACCACACUCAAGAACAGGCCUCUCUCGGUCAUGGUCACAGGCAAAGGCACUGUACUCCAGAAAGCCAAGGUAAGCAGUCACUCCCAGCCUCCCUUGGGGCCAGCAGAAAUGUCACUAAGGUAGGGGCCCAUCUUCUGACCCAGGUGGUGCUUUGUGGCUUUUGGCACCAGCUCUGAGCAAGGGCUCAGCACUCACCAAGGAGUGGCCAUGGCUUUGCUAUGCCUUCAGCUCAGUCUCUGGCACUGACCAACCAGAAAGGUGCCUGCACUUGGUUCGAGCAUCCUUCCCCGUGAGCUUGGGGAUGCUUCAGUUCUUGCCCUCCACACAGUUAUGGGUAGAUCCCAGGAGGCCAGCUGCAGCUCAGGGACAGAUUAUGACUGAGUUUUCAAACCAAAAAGUCAGUCAGUGACUCCACAGGACUUCUACCAUUAAAACUAAAGAAACAGACUCACAUAGGUGGUUUGAAUUGCCCAAAGUUGCCCACCCAACUACUGGCAAAAUUCUCAGCAAGUUGUGAAUGAGGAAUCCAUGCUAUGAUGCGGUUUCUCCCUGAUGGCUAGUCAAAAAAGUAUCAUUAAUCAUUUACUCAUUUACUCAUUUGUACACUAAAGAACAUGCCUAGGGCUGCCUUUGCUUUUGGCAAAUUCUGCUCCUUAUUCCUAUCCUCCUUACCUGCUGGAGAUAUUUGGAGGUCCCACAACAAUGGCUAACCAAUAAAUCCAUGCAAGCAUCUGAACCUCCACUCCCUUGUUGCUGUGAGAGACAUCACUUAUAGGCACUCGCUGUUGUGCCACAGUCUCAAAAUCUCUGAAUAGGCACUCUAAGCAGUGAUGAACACACAGGGUUUGAAACAUUUAUCACCUCUAUGCCUAAAAUAGUUUUUCUCACAUUUUUUCUAUGUAUAUCAAGGUUGCUACAGUGGAUAACUAACUAUCUUUUUGGUGGGGGGUGGGUGCUGGUAUUUGAAUGGUACCCUAGGAAUGGGAGAAGAAAGGAGCAAGUUAGAAAACAAGCUUCAUCUAAAGACUCUCAUGUCAAGGUGGACCUUGGUGACAAUCCUGCUUUGUUAAAGCAAAAACUAUGUGAAAGGGUGAGUCUGUUUAGAAGAAAAAGCAAAGACUGAGGUACUGUGAAUGGAGAGCUUCAGCUAAGAGGACGCUCUGUCCCUUUUCAGAGCCAAAGGAAAUAAUACAACAAAAAGGAGGCUUCUUUGGAGACCUAAGUCUAUUGGAUGUAAACAAGACGUUGUAUUUCGGGAUGUUCUGUGUUUCUUUCUUUUUUGAAGUUGUCAUCAAUUGCUUUACUAAGAUUUUUAAAUAGUGAAAACCUCGUGUUUAGACUUUGGUGGAAGAUGAAUCAAGGAAGCAGGGCCCUGUCUUAUGGGUCACGUGGCUUUGGUGAGUGAGAAGACCUAAACUCCUGGCCAUCAUCUCUUAUCCAAUACUUAGCAGUUGGGGAUUAAACCAUCCUUGCCUUCAGUUCUCUCCAAUAUUACCAGGCCCAACUCAGUCUUCAGUGAUUUUAAACAGCAUUGACAUCAUCUGUAAAACCAUCUAUAACAUGAGUUUUGAGAAACAAUAACAGGGGAAAAUAUUUGGGACCAAGCUGAAGCACUGAUCCCACUAAGUUAAAGACUUCUUUCCAGUCCAAGGCAGGCCUGAAUCAACUGUCUUUAAAUAAAAUUUUAAGUGAUGCUGUAUUAUAUAUAGGAAAAAAUGCUUAAAAUCCUGUCAUUUAGAACAGUGAAAAGUAUCUUUUGAGAUUAAAGUGACUCUUUACUGUAGGAAAAAAAAUUACUCUGUGUUUACAGAUUCAUUGCUGUGAUCAGGCCAUUUUUAAGGGAAGAGUUAUUUAAUAUAAAUAGUCCCUGAUUUUAAGUUCUGUUUAAUGUUCAUUCUCCUUCCAAGAACAAAGUGGUGAUUUUUUGGUUAGGGUGAUCGCCCUCUUAAAAUUGGCAGUGCUGUUCCUUGUGCUGCCCCUGUCUUUUCCUCUGAUGGCAUUUUUUUUUUUUUUUAACACAGGUUGAAACAUUUCAUCUAUUAUCUCUGCCUCAUUUCUGGAGGGUUGUGUAUCAGUUCUCUAACACUUGUUCCUGAGAACUAAAUGUCUUUUUUAUUCUUAUUUCCUCUCUCAUAAACAUUUGGUGACCUUUUACCAAGUGGUGAGUUAGGUUUUUUAAAAUAAAAUGUUCAUUGUAUUUG
This 3684-nucleotide small RNA is filed under the name Pan troglodytes (chimpanzee). RNAcentral's name for it is "processed transcript". Lineage: Eukaryota; Metazoa; Chordata; Mammalia; Primates; Hominidae. The record is from RNAcentral.